Molecule: long non-coding RNA, 1199 nt
Filed under: Homo sapiens (human)
Lineage: Eukaryota; Metazoa; Chordata; Mammalia; Primates; Hominidae
Description: HSALNT0368831
Source: RNAcentral
ACAGAGAAAUUGUUCAUGAAAGGAGGAGUCAAUCAAUGCAGCAAACUUCACCACUGUCUUAUUUUCAGAAAUUGCCAUGGCUACUCCCACCUUUAGCUACGACCACCCCGGUCAGUCAGCAGCCAUCAACAUUGAGGUCUUGAUUCUAGAGUUCAUCACUUCGAAUAAUUGUCUCCCUCACCAGAUUUGGAGCUCCUGUUGAGGAAAAACACUUUGAAUAAAUCAAUAUCUGGAACAAAAGCAAGAAGGACCUCACCAGAUGCUGCCCCUCAAUCUUGGAUUUCCUGGCCUCCAGAACUGUUGAACCACAACUGAUACCUUCCUUAUACCCAGGCAAGAUGAUCCUGCUCUGGGUUUUGGAAGCCCCAACAUAUCACAAAUAACUGUGCACUUUGGUCUCUUGGAAUCUGAUGCUGAGUAUUUGACAAUACAACCUGCCACCCCAAACAAAUUCUGUUCUCAUGAUCUGUUCAGGACCCAGGAAAUGGAUUCUCUAUAUUUUUUUCCCUUUGUUGUGAACAAUGAUUGAUGGUUCAAAUGCUGUGAAGGUCUGUGUUUCCUUCUACUUCUGAGAUUGAAGGUGACACUGCAUCUGAAUGAAGGAAGGAGUGAGGCAGUGGCACCCAGGUUAGGGAGAACACAAUUUUCACUAACUUUUCAAAUCCUUCUUUCUUGGCAUGAGUGCAAUAGAUUAUGCAUUUAUAAUCUAUUGAUUACGACUAAUGAAAAGUCAUUUUCAUAGCCCUGAGGGUCCAUUUACUUGCCUCAUUUUGUGUCCUAAAAGGUGGUUCCACAAGUGCUUAUAAGUUUUUGUGUAUUCACAACAGUUACACAUGGUGGCUGAGGAAUAUUUUAUGCCAUUAAACAAUGCAUAUUUCUGUUGAAUUUGUAUGUAUUAUGUCUUGACUUGAAAUGCACAAAACAAAACUCUAAUUAUUUACAUUGGCAAUUAAUUGACACUAUAUUAGCUAAAAUUGGUUUUAGCUAAUAAAACUAAUAAAAUUAAUUUUACUUUUAGAAAAGUGUUGAAUAAGGUUUAAGAUUUUCAAAAAGUUACUCAACAUCACCCACCCUCAGAUAAUUGCCAAUCAAAACCACAAUAAGAGAUCACCUCACACCUCUCAGCAUGGCCAUGAUCAAACAAGACAAAACAACAGAUAACAAGUGUUGAAGAGGAUGUGGAGAAAUUGGAACGCUUG